Molecule: unclassified non-coding RNA, 394 nt
Filed under: uncultured Bartonella sp.
Lineage: Bacteria; Pseudomonadati; Pseudomonadota; Alphaproteobacteria; Hyphomicrobiales; Bartonellaceae
Description: partial 16S-23S ribosomal RNA intergenic spacer
Source: RNAcentral
UAAGGAUGAUCAAGAAUUGGAACUCUUUUAAUAAAGAAUGUUCCUUUUUGAUCUCACUAGACAAUAAAGGUCUUAAACAGUUUUGUUUAAACCUUGUACAUAUGACCAAACGCCUCAUAAACCCUCAUCUUAAAGAGAGGUUCUCUUUGUAAAAAGAGGCUCCUCCCUCCAUGAGUAAGUUCUAUGAGAGCCAAGUGUUCAUAUGUUCUCUUAUACAAGCAGACUAGCCGUCUUCGUUUCUCUUUCUUCAGAUGAUGAUCCCAAGCCUUCUGGCGAUCUCUUAAGUCUUAAAGCCCUGCUUAUUUUUAAUGGUGCUUUAAGGAAAAGAGCUCUAAAAAGCUUUCGUAUUAAGAGUAUGCCGGGGAAGGUUUUCCGGUUUAUCCCGGAGGGCUUG